This 921-nucleotide ribosomal RNA is filed under the name uncultured archaeon. RNAcentral's name for it is "bacterial SSU rRNA". It matches the Rfam family "Archaeal small subunit ribosomal RNA", at positions 1 to 922 of the family's 1478-position model. The record is from RNAcentral.
UUCCGGUUGAUCCUGCCGGAGGUUACUGCUAUCGGAGUUCGAUUAAGCCAUGCGAGUCUAAAGGUUUCUUCGGAAACCUUGGCGGACUGCUCAGUAACACGUGGAUAACCUACCCUUGGGACUGGAAUAACCCCGGGAAACUGGGGAUAAUACCGGAUAGAUCAGGGAUGCUGGAAUGCACCUUGAUCCAAAGCUCCGGCGCCCAAGGAUGGGUCUGCGGCCUAUCAGGUUGUAGUGGGUGUAACGUACCUACUAGCCGACGACGGGUACGGGUUGUGAGAGCAAGAGCCCGGAGAUGGAUUCUGAGACACGAAUCCAGGCCCUACGGGGUGCAGCAGGCGCGAAACCUUUACAAUGUGCGAAAGCAUGAUAAGGGAACUCCGAGUGCCAGUAUCUAAUACUGGCUGUCCUUGUGCCUAAAACGCACAAGAUAGCAAGGGCCGGGUAAGACCGGUGCCAGCCGCCGCGGUAACACCGGCGGCCCGAGUGGUAGCCGCUAUUAUUGGGUCUAAAGGGUCCGUAGCCGGUUCGAUAAGUCCUCUGGGAAAUCUGGUUGCUUAACAAUCAGACUGCCAAGGGAUACUGUCGAACUUGAGACCGGGAGAGGUAAGAGGUACUUCAGGGGUAGGAGUGAAAUCUUGUAAUCCCUGGGGGACCAUCUGUGGCGAAGGCGUCUUACCAGAACGGGUCUGACGGUGAGGGACGAAAGCUGGGGGCGCAAACCGGAUUAGAUACCCGGGUAGUCCCAGCCGUAAACGAUGCUCGCUAUGUGUCAGGUACGGUGUGACCGUAUCUGGUGCCGUAGGGAAGCCGUGAAGCGAGCCACCUGGGGAGUACGGUCGCAAGACUGAAACUUAAAGGAAUUGGCGGGGGAGCACUACAACGGGUGGAGCCUGCGGUUAAAUUGGAGUCAACGCCGGG